Molecule: unclassified non-coding RNA, 328 nt
Filed under: Hevea brasiliensis (rubber tree)
Lineage: Eukaryota; Viridiplantae; Streptophyta; Magnoliopsida; Malpighiales; Euphorbiaceae
Source: RNAcentral
CCACCACAAGCAUGUACCGGCGGUCAAACCUGCCCUUACGAUCACUAUAGCUUGUGGAUUUACUGAUAGGCAUAUUCACUUCAUAAUAACUUGCUGUAAUUUUCUUCACCCAUUUCAGUUGUUGCUGUCGAAGGAGGCAUGGCCACUGGACCCAUUGCUUUUGCGAAACCUUCUGCUGAAGCCACCACGUCAGACUGUCCUUCUAUCUCCAUGUUAGAACCCGCUAUUGGAGAAGUUUCUGGUGGAACUCCAAUAAGCUUUCUGCGUUUGUUAUGCUUCUUCUUAAGCCCUCGUUGAGACAUUGUUGGAGCACCUAAUUAACCAUGAA